UGCCAAUCAUAGCGGAGGAAAAGAAACCAACAGGGAUUGCCUCAGUAACGGCGAGUGAAGCGGCAAAAGCUCAAAUUUGAAAUCCGGUACCUUUGGUGCCCGAGUUGUAAUUUGAAGAUAGUUUUCUGGUGCUGGCCCUUGUCUAUGUUCCUUGGAACAGGACGUCACAGAGGGUGAGAAUCCCGUCUGGCGGGGUGUCCAGUGCUUUGUAGAUUUCUAUCGACGAGUCGAGUUGUUUGGGAAUGCAGCUCUAAGUGGGUGGUAAAUUCCAUCUAAAGCUAAAUAUUGGCGAGAGACCGAUAGCGAACAAGUACAGUGAUGGAAAGAUGAAAAGAACUUUGAAAAGAGAGUGAAAAAGUACGUGAAAUUGUUGAAAGGGAAGGGUAUUAGAUCAGACUUGGUGUUUUGUGAUUAUCUUCCCUUCUUGGGUUGUGCACUCGCAUUUCACUGGGCCAGCAUCGGUUCGGGUGGUAAGAUAAUGACAUUGGAACGUGGCACUGCCUUCGGGUGGUGUGUUAUAGCCCUUGUUGAUGUUGCCUACCUGGACCGAGGACUGCGGCUUUUGCCUAGGAUGCUGGCGUAAUGAUCUAACACCGCCCGUCUUGAAACACGGGACCA
This 618-nucleotide ribosomal RNA is filed under the name Williopsis saturnus. Its description in RNAcentral is "LSU rRNA". It matches the Rfam family "Eukaryotic large subunit ribosomal RNA", at positions 41 to 664 of the family's 3401-position model. Lineage: Eukaryota; Fungi; Ascomycota; Saccharomycetes; Phaffomycetales; Wickerhamomycetaceae. The record is from RNAcentral.